Non-coding RNA from Pelobates cultripes (western spadefoot toad), 543 nucleotides. NCBI's taxonomy places the organism in Eukaryota, Metazoa, Chordata, Amphibia, Anura, Pelobatidae. The record is from the annotation of a GenBank genome assembly.
AAGUCACAUUUGACUGACCGCAAGCAUGGCUUUCUGCAGGGCCCAUAAUCCUUGGGCAAAAGGCUGGCAAACAGGCCCCUCCAAAACCCAGUGGCGAAGUAAUUUUUAGCAAGGAGAUAGAAGACUUGUAGGGCUCUUGUACAGUUUUGUGGUGUUUUAUUAUGUUUUUAUAAUAUUCUGUAUGUUUCCUGUACUUGAGGGAUAAUUUAAUUAUUGUUCUUUGGUCUCAACUAUAUCUCAGAUACAGGAUCUAUGGGUAGGAGUUUUUCUGUGUGGACCUAAUUGUAAACCUUGUAACUUGUAAUGUAGACUCUCUGCUGGGGUCUGUACAUAAAAGGCCAUGCUUGACCCAAUAAAAUUCAGUUGUCUCACAGCAUUAAGUAUUGGCUAAUGUCUGUGGGAAAGCACUAUACUACUCACGACACUUUUGGAAACAUCGCUGACAGAGAUCCAGAGAUGGGGAAAGGACAGCUUUGGCGGCGAAACUCGUGUCCCUAUCCGAGUGACCGCCACACUCAUCUUUUAUCAAUAGGAGUAAUUUAU